RNAcentral lists this transfer RNA (76 nucleotides) under Alphaproteobacteria bacterium. RNAcentral's name for it is "tRNA-Ala". It matches the Rfam family "tRNA". From Rfam's summary of the family: Transfer RNA (tRNA) molecules are approximately 80 nucleotides in length. Their secondary structure includes four short double-helical elements and three loops (D, anti-codon, and T loops). The record is from RNAcentral. Lineage: Bacteria; Pseudomonadati; Pseudomonadota; Alphaproteobacteria. RNAcentral also lists the same sequence under 1 other name.
GGGGCCAUAGCUCAGCUGGGAGAGCGCCUGCUUUGCAAGCAGGAGGUCGCCGGUUCGAGCCCGGCUGGCUCCACCA